Molecule: long non-coding RNA, 436 nt
Filed under: Rattus norvegicus (Norway rat)
Lineage: Eukaryota; Metazoa; Chordata; Mammalia; Rodentia; Muridae
Description: long non-coding RNA NONRATT005649
Source: RNAcentral
GCACUUAGCAAUCAGCAGCAUCCAGAGCCAAGUCAGGGCAAAGGGUGGCCUAAGUUUCCUUCCGCAGUGGAUUCUUUUCCAGAUUCUCUACCUUCAUGGAUGACAGAAACAGGAUGUUUUCACUUACUUGACACAUCUGCCUUUCUUCCUGUCCUCCAUGCAUUUUUAUUGCCUUACUUUCCCCUCCUUUCCUCUCCUCCCCUCCCAUUCCCUUCCUCUCUCCCUUUCCCUCCUCCUCCACUUCUCUUCCCUUCCCCUCCCCUUUUCUUCCCCUCCACUUCCCUUUCCCCUUCCUCCCUCUCCUAUCUUUCCCUCUUCCAUUCCCUAUCUCUCCCCUUUCACUUCCCUUUCCCUCUCUCCUUCCUCCCUUCCCCUCCCUCCUCCAUUCCCCUUUACUUCCUCUCCCCUUCCUUCCUUUCUUCUUUUAAGACAGGAC